This 466-nucleotide ribosomal RNA is filed under the name Cellulomonas sp. 'ARUP UnID 198'. RNAcentral's name for it is "bacterial SSU rRNA". It matches the Rfam family "Bacterial small subunit ribosomal RNA", at positions 27 to 504 of the family's 1533-position model. Lineage: Bacteria; Bacillati; Actinomycetota; Actinomycetes; Micrococcales; Cellulomonadaceae. The record is from RNAcentral.
GGACGAACGCUGGCGGCGUGCUUAACACAUGCAAGUCGAACGGUGAUCCUGGAGCUUGCUCCAGGUGAUCAGUGGCGAACGGGUGAGUAACACGUGAGUAACCUGCCCCAGACUCUGGGAUAACCCCGAGAAAUCGGAGCUAAUACCGGAUACGAGACGCACGGGCAUCUGUAGCGUCUGGAAAGAAUUUCGGUCUGGGAUGGACUCGCGGCCUAUCAGCUAGUUGGUGAGGUAACGGCCCACCAAGGCGACGACGGGUAGCCGGCCUGAGAGGGCGACCGGCCACACUGGGACUGAGACACGGCCCAGACUCCUACGGGAGGCAGCAGUGGGGAAUAUUGCACAAUGGGCGCAAGCCUGAUGCAGCGACGCCGCGUGGGGGAUGAAGGCCUUCGGGUUGUAAACCCCUUUCAGCAGGGAAGAAGCGAAAGUGACGGUACCUGCAGAAGAAGCGCCGGCUAACUAC